This 253-nucleotide ribosomal RNA is filed under the name uncultured bacterium. RNAcentral's name for it is "partial 16S ribosomal RNA". It matches the Rfam family "Bacterial small subunit ribosomal RNA", at positions 524 to 776 of the family's 1533-position model. The record is from RNAcentral.
UACGAAGGGGGCUAGCGUUGCUCGGAAUCACUGGGCGUAAAGGGUGCGUAGGCGGGUCUUUAAGUCAGGGGUGAAAUCCUGGAGCUCAACUCCAGAACUGCCUUUGAUACUGAAGAUCUUGAGUUCGGGAGAGGUGAGUGGAACUGCGAGUGUAGAGGUGAAAUUCGUAGAUAUUCGCAAGAACACCAGUGGCGAAGGCGGCUCACUGGCCCGAUACUGACGCUCAUGUACGAAAGCGUGGGGAGCAAACAGG